GACGAACGCUGGCGGCGUGCUUAACACAUGCAAGUCGAACGGAGCGAAUGAAAGCUUGCUUUUAUAAGCUUAGUGGCAAACGGGUGAGUAACACGUAGGCAACCUGCCGACAGGAUGGGGACAACAUUCCGAAAGGAAUGCUAAUACCGAAUGAAGCGCAGGGGAGGCAUCUCUCCUGCGUGAAAGAUGGCCUCUAUAUAUAAGCUAUCACCUGUCGAUGGGCCUGCGUCUGAUUAGCUGGUAGGUGAGGUAACGGCUCACCUAGGCGACGAUCAGUAGCCGGUCUGAGAGGAUGAACGGCCACAUUGGGACUGAGACACGGCCCAGACUCCUACGGGAGGCAGCAGUGGGGAAUCCUCCGCAAUGGGCGCAAGCCUGACGGAGCAACGCCGCGUGAGUGAAGAAGGUCUUCGGAUCGUAAAGCUCUGUUGAUGGGGACGAACGUGCCUAAUGCGAAUAGUAUUAGGUAAUG
RNAcentral lists this ribosomal RNA (472 nucleotides) under Centipeda noxia. RNAcentral describes it as "bacterial SSU rRNA". It matches the Rfam family "Bacterial small subunit ribosomal RNA", at positions 28 to 471 of the family's 1533-position model. The record is from RNAcentral. Lineage: Bacteria; Bacillati; Bacillota; Negativicutes; Selenomonadales; Selenomonadaceae.